Molecule: long non-coding RNA, 1404 nt
Organism: Patella vulgata (common limpet)
Lineage: Eukaryota; Metazoa; Mollusca; Gastropoda; Patellidae
Exons: 3
Source: RefSeq, a predicted model, not a curated record
UCGUUAUACUGUUAAGCAGUCACAGGAAUUGAUCACACCAUCAGUGAUAGCAAUUAGCUCUUAAGAAGAUGGAAAAACUUGAAAAAUAUUUAUCAUGGAUAUUUUUGUUUUUCUUAAAUUGGUCCGGAGUGGUUGGUAAUUGUGGGGGCGGUGGUGAGCUGGUUUAUUAUAAAAUUAUAUAUUUUAAGGAUCAAGGAAUACCAAGUUACACAGUAUCCCAGACAGCUGUUAACGUUACCGUUUGUGGUGAAGCCUGUGCAGGGAAAAUUGGAUGUAAAUCUUUUGGCUAUCAUCCAAAAGAUAAUCGUUGUUAUUUAUACGAGGAUCGGAUAAAAGUUGGUUACACGUCGUAUUUCUCUGAUCCUGGAAUCGUAUAUUAUUGGAAAGUUGAGGAGUCCUGUCCUUCAAACUAUACUGACGUACGUGAAUUGAAACUGUGUUAUAAGAUAUACGAUACACCUUUAAACAUGAGUGAGUCAGAGGCGACAUGUGAAACGGAUGGUGGCCACCUUGCUAUUAUUGAUACAGAAGAGAAAAGAUCCUACAUGUUUGAUACAUAUGGAUUCAAUCUUGUUGCUCAUUAUUUUGGAGGAACAUGGCCGUCCCACAAUGCGAAACACCACUGGUUUAACGGUGUAGAGGUUUCUAAGUGGACGCCACACCAACCGGAUUAUGCAGGAAGCGAAUUCUGUUUGAAUACCUAUUAUUUUGCCGAUAGUAAAGAAGUACUUUUCAAUGAUUGUGAAUGUAAUAAAACAUUCCCUUUUGUUUGUGAAAUACCGGUACGAUAUAUAUAGGUAAUCCCCAUCUCAUCGUGUUAAAUAUGUGUAUUUUGUUGAUUUGUAAAAACAAUAUAUUAAAUUUUUUGACCUCCAGUCUGUGGAUAUACUAGUUAAUUCAUUAUACCGGUACUAUACGUUUUGUUUUUACCGGACUGGAAUUCCCAUUUUUUCCACAGUGAUUGACAUCUCGAACACGUCACUUAUUGACGUAACCUGCCGAUUCAAGUCAGUGAAAAUAUAUACCUUUUGACGGUAACGCAGAAAAAGCGAAUGGCAUACUUUCGACCAGAUAUGUCAGAGGUCAUUUCGCGUCAGUUUGUUAGACCCUGGUGUAGUGCAAAUGGAACAACAUAAAAUCUAUAACGAAACGAAUAUGUGGUAGAAUUUUAAUUAGACCAUAACAAACUACAUAAUAUAAUUAUUAGCAACAUUAUCACCCUUGACGCCGAUACGGUAUUUGCCACUGUAUACAAACGAGUUUUAUCUUAAUAUGAUGGGGAUGAUCAAUUAAAUAGAACACCCGAUACACUCUCUCGCUCGAUAAGAUCACAUACCUAAUAAAAUGGUUUUUUUUUGGGAUAAUGCAGUCACAUUGUUGGUCUGAUCUUUUAACACACAAAUA